Molecule: unclassified non-coding RNA, 382 nt
Filed under: Hevea brasiliensis (rubber tree)
Lineage: Eukaryota; Viridiplantae; Streptophyta; Magnoliopsida; Malpighiales; Euphorbiaceae
Source: RNAcentral
GAGAGAGAGAGAGAGAGGGGAAAGCAAGGCAGAGAAAUAAAGAGUUAUGAUGGUAAGUUUUCUUUUGUGUUUUUUUUGGGAAGUGUGGGAAUAGAGGAAUAAUAAUGGGAGAUGAGAGGAGAGGUGAUGAUGGUUCUAAAUUCUCUCAUUUAUGGCAAAAGGAAGUGGAGGUGGCUAGGUGGGGAGGCCUGGCCUACUGCUUCCACUCCUUUCUCUCCUUCGAACACUAACCAGUGUCCAGUGCGUGCGUACUAUUGAAUCCACUUUUCCUGAGUAUGAUUCGAUUUCUCAUAACUAGUCUUUCGCCUUCUUCCAUGUGGAGUCCAAAGCUUUGGACUUUUUUGCUCCAUUUUCUUUUCUUUAACUUCUGCCUUACUUGUCU